CCUACGGGGUGCACCAGUGGGGAAUAUUGGACAAUGGGCGAAAGCCUGAUCCAGCAAUGCCGCGUGUGUGAAGAAGGUCUUCGGAUUGUAAAGCGCUUUCGACGGGGACGAUGAUGACGGUACCCGUAGAAGAAGCCCCGGCUAACUUCGUGCCAGCAGCCGCGGUAAUACGAAGGGGGCUAGCGUUACUCGGAAUGACUGGGCGUAAAGGGCGCGUAGGCGGUUUAUGCAGUCAGAUGUGAAAUCCCCGGGCUUAACCUGGGAACUGCAUUUGAGACGCAUAGACUAGAGGUCGAGAGAGGGUCGUGGAAUUCCCAGUGUAGGGGUGAAAUUCGUGGAUAUUGGGAAGAACACCGGUGGCAAAGGCGGCAACCUGGCUCGAUACUGACGCUGAGGCGCGAAAGCGUGGGGAGCAAACAGGAUUAGAUACCCCGGUAGUC
This 440-nucleotide ribosomal RNA is filed under the name uncultured bacterium. Its description in RNAcentral is "bacterial SSU rRNA". It matches the Rfam family "Bacterial small subunit ribosomal RNA", at positions 338 to 795 of the family's 1533-position model. The record is from RNAcentral.